GCUUACGGCCAUACCACCCUGAGCACGCCUGAUCUCGGAAGCUAAGCAGGGUUGGGCUUGGUUAGUACUCGGAUGGAAGACUGCCUGGGAAUACCGGUGCUGUAAGCU
Molecule: ribosomal RNA, 108 nt
Organism: Oreochromis aureus
Lineage: Eukaryota; Metazoa; Chordata; Actinopteri; Cichliformes; Cichlidae
Source: Ensembl